This is a non-coding RNA of Paramuricea clavata, 693 nucleotides long. The record is from the annotation of a GenBank genome assembly. Lineage: Eukaryota; Metazoa; Cnidaria; Anthozoa; Malacalcyonacea; Plexauridae.
UCACAUUAGUCACCAUUAAUUUUGGAAUAAAAUUACUAAUCCUCUGUUUUAAUGUAGUGGUAUUAAGUUGAUGGAGUUCUGUAGUAAGGGGCUUACAUGGCAGUGUACAGUUAUUUGGAAAUUCAACAGAUUCGUUUAAUAAUGACUGGGUGGUCUUGUUGGGUUGUCCAUCAGGGGAGGCAUAUAAGGGUAAUUUACAUGGGGAUAAAAAAAAGGGUGUCUCAUAGUAUUUAGGUGACUUUGAAAAUGAUAUGGAGUUUGUCCGUAAAACGGGGGUGGAAAAAAUUGUUGUUGGUAUGGUUGAAAGGACUAUUGUGGUUUAGCGUGGGAGAAAUAACAUUUCAAACCCUUCAGGCAAUGACCCUUUCUGCGUAAGAAGGGACAUGGAACGUGAGAUUUAGGGUUUUUUGUGUGUCGGGGGAACCUAUCUUGGUAUGGUGCGGGUAUUUCGUUCCUACCCGCAAUUUCUUCUGAAACAUUAUCGGUUCCAGCGUUAUUUAGAUUUGCCGCGCCAACGUUGUUUUGAUCAGAUAUCUCGAUUAUACUAAUGUCGGGGGCGUUGGGAUUAGUCGUUUCAUUAAUUUCUUUUGUUUGAGCGUGAGUUAAAAUAUGCAUAUCAGUGGCAGGUUUGCCAUUUCGAUUUUUAACUAACUUUCCCCCAUUUUCAACUGAUUUUUCACCUUUACUCUGGCC